Long non-coding RNA from Peromyscus californicus insignis, 1451 nucleotides. RefSeq lists it as uncharacterized. The transcript is spliced from 4 exons. NCBI's taxonomy places the organism in Eukaryota, Metazoa, Chordata, Mammalia, Rodentia, Cricetidae. The record is from RefSeq and is a predicted model, not a curated record.
GUGGUACAGCCGAGCCCCCAAACCCUGCAGCCUCACUCGCCGGUGAGAUAAUCUGUGGUUGUGGAGAUGGUUUUUGUUGGUGGGUGUUACUUGAGCGCAUGGAGCAGCCUUUCUGAUGGAGCUUUUAAUUCGGGGCGAAAUUUCUGGAAACCCAUCCUCUACCGUCUCAAUCACUCCAAAGUUCGAGGGUCUCUGAAGCGUUGAGAAAAAGCACAAAAUCAACAGGCACAUCCAAGAGAUGGAAGGAAAAAGCUUAUGCUGAAGGAGGGACCAGAUUUGCAUCAAUUGUCAGGAGAGCUAAACCCCAGAAUGAGGUGGCUGAGGACGCAUCAGAACAAAUGCUCAGAGAGCGGACAUGCUGUUUCAGAGGCUGAGUUCUCGUGACAGGACAGAAGGAAGAGAAGCUUCGCCUGUGGUGUCCCGUUGGUUGGAGAUGCUGACACUCGCUUCCUCCCACACACGUUUCUGUUGUUGCUGGGUGGUGAGAUGGUGCAGCAGGAGGACAGUCCUCAGCAUACAGCCGUACACUCCGCCGUUUCAGAGGCUGAGCCUUCAGAACCGUGAGCCAGACGAACCUCUCCUUCAGAAAUGGCCCAUGUCAGGCAUCUCAUUAGAGCGGCACAAAAAGAUUACUGAUAACAGACAUCAUGUGGUUCUAGAUACCUUCUUCGAUGACAAGUGUUAUUGUCAACUUGGCCGAAUCUAGGAUCACCUGGGAGACAGGCUCCUGGCCAUGCUUGUGAGGGACUAUCUUGAGUGUCUUAACUGAUGUGGAAAGACAUAUAGCUUGACUGGGAGUGGUCAGGGGAUCCUGAACUGUGUAAAGCUGAGAAAACCAGCCGAUCAUUCGCUAGCAUUCACCCCUCUCUCCUUCCUGACUGUUGAUACAGUGUGACCAAAGGCUUCAAGCUCCUUGACUUCCUCACCAUGGUGUACAAGGGACAGUGGUACCUUGAACUGCUGAGCAGGAAUAAACCCUUCUCCAUUAAGUCGCUCUGUCAGGACAUUCUGUUAUGACAAGGGCAGAGAGAAGCUAAGACAGCAUCUGUCGUGGUUUCCAUUUCAUUUGAGCGUUUUUUUAGUACCUGGAUCUUAGAGAUUUCAGGUUUCUUCCAUCUCCCUGCUGUGGCUUUGAUAGAGGAUGGAAUUGUUGCUUGGGGUUUCCUUGAAGUUUGCUGAGAUUCCUUAAAACAGCUACUGUACAUUCUCUAUCUGAGGGGGUGGAGAGAUGGCUCAACCUUUAACAGCAGUGGCUGCUCUUCUAGAGGUCCUGAGUUCAAUUCCCAGCACCCACAUGGUGGCUCACAACUGUCUAUAACUGUAGUCCUGUGGGAUCUGAUGCCCUCUUCUGGUGUGCAGAGGUACAUGGAGACAAAACAUUCAUAAAAUAAAUGAAUCUUAACAACAAAAACUGCUGCCUGAGAUUUCAGGUGUCAGUUUCUUAGUGGCCA